GGGGCCGUUCUGGUUUUGACGGAGAAUGACUUGGUAGUGGCUGCAGUGGAGUGGUGAUCUUUAACACCAAAAACAAAUAACUGAUAACAGUUAUAUGAGAAACGCCUCGCGCGUUUCGUAUGCCCGCGCCUAAUCUUCGGAUCUAGGCAACCUUAUUGGUCCCCUGCUUUGCAGGGCCGGCACGCUCUCUGCGGUUUCCUCGCUUCACGCGCACUUUGAGUGUCAUAACAAGGCGAUAAGCUUGGGCCGAUGACUAUAGGCCCAGGACGAAUAACGCGCUAGUCUCGCCUUAAGGGCUCGGUACCAUUCCUGCCUUAAGGCCAAACCUGAUGGUGCCUAAACUGUAGGCGCUGCUAUAGGGUCUUCUUCGGACCGGGGUUCAAUUCCCCGCGACUCCACCA
RNAcentral lists this transfer-messenger RNA (401 nucleotides) under Bacilli. RNAcentral's name for it is "Enteromonas sp002068375 Standard tmRNA". It matches the Rfam family "transfer-messenger RNA". From Rfam's summary of the family: Bacterial tmRNA, also known as 10Sa RNA or SsrA, is named for its dual tRNA and mRNA-like properties. The record is from RNAcentral. Lineage: Bacteria; Bacillati; Bacillota. RNAcentral also lists the same sequence under 1 other name.